Molecule: ribosomal RNA, 1417 nt
Filed under: uncultured bacterium
Lineage: Bacteria
Description: bacterial SSU rRNA
Rfam family: Bacterial small subunit ribosomal RNA
Source: RNAcentral
AGAGUUUGAUCCUGGCUCAGAACGAACGCUGGCAGCGUGGAUUAGGCAUGCAAGUCGAACGGGAUUGACCUGAUAGCAAUAUUGGGUCAUGAGAGUGGCGAAAGGGCGAGUAAUGCAUGGGCAAUCUAUCCUUGAGUUCGGGAUAACUCAGCGAAAGUUGAGCUAAUACCGGAUGUGGUUACGGCGGGGCAUCCUGCUGUUACUAAAGAUGGGGCUCCUUCGGGACCUGUCGCUCUCGGCGGAGCCCGUGUGCCAUCAGCUUGUUGGUGAGGUAACGGCUCACCAAGGCUUACGGCUAGCUGGUCUGAGAGGACGAUCAGCCGCACUGGGACUGAGACACUGCCCAGACUCCUACGGGAGGCUGCAGUCGAGGAUCAUUCGCAAUGCGCGAAAGCGUGACGAUGCGACGCUGCGUGGAGGACGACGGCCUUCGGGUUGUAAACUCCUGUCAUGGGGGAAAAAUGUAUUGGAUGUUAACAGCAUCUGGUAUUUGAUGGUACCCCAAGAGGAAGCCACGGCUAACUCUGUGCCAGCAGCCGCGGUAAUACAGAGGUGGCGAGCGUUGUUCGGAUUUACUGGGCGUAAAGGGCGCGUAGGCGGCAUUGUGUGUCGUAUGUGAAAUCCCCGGGCUCAACCCGGGAAGUGCAUGCGAAACUGCAGCGCUAGAGCAGAGGAGGGGAGAGCGGAAUUCAUGGUGUAGCGGUGAAAUGCGUUGAUAUCAUGAGGAACACCCGAGGCGAAGGCGGCUCUCUGGAAUCUUGCUGACGCUCAGACGCGAAAGCGGGGGGAGCAAACAGGAUUAGAUACCCUGGUAGUCCCGGACCUAAAAAAAAAACAGGUGGCGUGGGGGGGCUCACCCCCCUCCCGUGCCGGAGCUAACGUGGUUAAGUGUUGCCGCCUGGGGAGUACGGGCCGCAAGGCUAAAACUCAAAGAAAUGGCCGGGGGCCCGCACAAGCGGAGGAGCAAUGUGGCCUUAAUUCGAUGCAACACGAAGAACCUUACCCGGGUUUGACAUGUAACUGCACAUCCUGUGAAAGCAGGAUUCCUUCGAGGGUGUUACACAGGUGCUGCAUGGCUGUCGUCAGUUCGUGCCGUGAGGUGUUUGGUUAAGUCCAGCAACGAACGCAACCCCUGUGUCCAAUUGCCAGCGAGUAAUGUCGGGAACUUUGGACAGACUGCCUGUUUACGCAGGAGGAAGGUGGGGACGACGUCAAGUCAGUAUGGCCCUUACAUCCGGGGCUGCACACGUGCUACAAUGGUCGGUACAAUGGGACGCUAAGCCGUAAGGUGGCGCAAAUCCCCAGAGCCGGCCCCAGUUCAGAUUGCGGUCUGCAAUUCGACCGCAUGAAGUCGGAUUCGCUAGUAACGGCGUAUCAGCUACGACGCCGUGAAUAAGAUCCCGGCCCUUGCACACAC